ACAUGCGUCCCCCUCCCCCUUCCUGGCUCCCCAUAGCAAAACCGUGCAGCGCACCCCGCCCAGGCGACGCGUUCCGCAGACAUCGCCGAGACCCCACGCGACGCGUCCGUCUAGACAGCCGCUCGUGUCUUUUGUGUUGCGACGGCAAGCCGAGCACACGCCACCCCUGGAACCUGCAACCACGGGGACCUCCCUUGCAACAGGGGACAGGGAUGCUGGUGGACACCGUCCUUACCGGUGGGGACCACAGGGUUGUGCCGUGAUCACAUGUUCUGUGCUCUGCACCGAGAUAGAGAGAGAGAGAGAGAGAGAGAGAGAGAAAGAGAGAGAGACAGAGCUACUGAACUCAGGCUCGGACUCCGAAAGCCCAGCGGACCAAGUUAACCGGUGCCUGGAUGAAAGGCUUCUUUAUUCCGAUCGCUCUCCGGUCUCAAUGACCCUCAAGGACGCAGUGCAAACAUUUCAGUCCUGGAGGACGGUUAAGGAACAGCUCCUCCGCAAUCAGAGCAGCCCAGGAGGGUCUUCACUCCAGGGGCUCUUCAGGGACCUCGGCCGCUGUGUUAUGAAUUCCUGGAAUCAAGCGUCCACUUUGUAAGUGGUUGACAAAUUGAGGUUCAGUGUGCCUGGAAAAUGACCACAGUGGUGCCCCUUCCAGCAGGUGGCUUAUGAUACAUCAAGGCCAAAGUUGAAGCUUCCAGUAUUGAGAUGUAGUAUUCUGAAGCAAGACGCGUAAUGCAAACAGUGGGGGUCCGACUUUGUUUUAAAAAUCCGAAACAUGGGUAGUAGGUGGUGUAGUGAUUAAAGACACAGACUUGGAAGAGGGGACUCAAGUGCUGGGAGAAACUCUGCACUUGAGCUCUAAACGGGUCACUUAAAACACCACCGUAAAAAAAUGAGUAAAAUAGAUUGAUAAUAAGCCUAGGAACAAAUUUCCGUUUCAGUUUAUUCAUUUAGUGACACUUUCCUCCAAAGUGGCUUACAGUGUUAAAGGGUAAUUUCUGCUCUAUUUUACCUUAUUGAUUUACACUUUCUUCCAAAGUGACACAUAAUGUUAAAGUACUCGAUUCAGGGUAAGAACCUUGCUCAAGGGUACUACAGUACAAGGUGGGAUUUUAACGUGGGUCCUUCGAGUGCAAGGCAGCAGCUCUAACAACUACGCCCCCUGCUGCUUGAAGCUUUCCCGUGUUUAACUGCGGUACCGCAAUGGAUGGGCGUAGGAUCUAUAUCCCUGACUUCUUUUCACCCCUUGGAACCACGUUCACUAAAUACUGGAUGUGCAAAAGGAGAUGAUUAUGAUCUGCCUUUACCACGGUAAGCAGAGUUCAACAAGGCCGAAAGUCUCAGAAUGAAGAGCUGAAAAACAAGUGUCAUUGUUUCCAAAGAGUGAAAGAGGAACUUUGGCCAAAAUGCCCCAAGCAAAACUUCUCCUUUCUGCGUUGCACUCCGCUAAUUGGAGACCGUAGGACCCUAUUUUUAGUCGCUGCGAAGCCCUGCGUGGUCCGCUGUCGCACGCCUGUCUCUCACACAGCUGCACUUAUAGGUAGGCAGUGUGUGUGUGUGUGUGUGCAACCGAUGGCUUCAGAAGUACGGUUCGCCGUGUCUUGCGUGGGGAAGAGUUGAGGUUGCUGACCGGACAAGACGCGACUCGCUAGAGGUGAAGGCCACUGCCUCGGAGCUCCGCGACUGAAGCAGAGCCAAGCGCAUGGAGUAAGUUACCGCAGUUUACCAUCUCGGUUCUGGCAGUGCACAGUGACAGACUGGUACGCUCUCGGUCCCAGAAUGUUCUGGGUGUUUUUCGGCAAGAUUGCCGUCGUCGACUGAAAAGAAAGAGACCCUUCUCGAGCGCUCGGCCUUCAGCUGGACCCGUCAUUCAAAGUGUCGCACAUUAACAUCCCCGCAACGCACCCAGUUGGGUGUGCGAUGCGUUCGGCUGCAGAAACGUACGUUGAAGGUGAGUCACAACUUCUGCUGCGAGAUGAAUAUCUUGAGAAUUUCUUGCUCUGAAGUUUUCCAAAGCAGGGUGUGGGGGCGCGGGGGGUUUGGCCGGGUUCUGUUCUUUGGUGGAUCUGGGGUUCGAGUCCUGCUUGGGGUGCCCUGUGACGGACUGGCAUCCUGUCCUGGGUGUGUUUGUCCCCCCCCCCCAGCCUUACACCCUGUGUUGCCAGGUUAGGCUCCGGUUCACUGCGACCCCGCUUAGGACAAGCAGCUUUAGCCAGUGUGUGUGUGUGUGUGUGUGUGUGUGUGUGUGAGAGUUUUCUAAGGCCUUAAAAGUGUUCUGUAUUACAAAGCAAUACUUCCUAGAGAGAAAAUUUUAUAUAAAUACCACUUUGCCCAGUCGUGGUUAAGGAUAAAGGCUUCUCCUGAUGGCUGUCAGUUUAAGUCCAAUAAGGGGCUCUGCUGCUGAAAUAUUCAAACUGAAUUUCAACAACAUUCCUUGUUACUCUGGAGUGCAAUAAACAUGUUGGCUAAGUAUGUGGCA
Long non-coding RNA from Scleropages formosus (Asian bonytongue), 2479 nucleotides. NCBI's taxonomy places the organism in Eukaryota, Metazoa, Chordata, Actinopteri, Osteoglossiformes, Osteoglossidae. The record is from Ensembl.